UACGUAGGGUGCGAGCGUUAAUCGGAAUUACUGGGCGUAAAGCGUGCGCAGGCGGCGCGUUAAGUCAGGUGUGAAAGCCCCGAGCUUAACUUGGGAACUGCGCUUGUGACUGGCGUGCUGGAGUGUGGCAGAGGGAGGUGGAAUUCCACGUGUAGCAGUGAAAUGCGUAGAGAUGUGGAGGAACACCGAUGGCGAAGGCAGCCUCCUGGGCCAGCACUGACGCUCAUGCACGAAAGCGUGGGGAGCAAACAGG
RNAcentral lists this ribosomal RNA (253 nucleotides) under uncultured bacterium. RNAcentral's name for it is "partial 16S ribosomal RNA". It matches the Rfam family "Bacterial small subunit ribosomal RNA", at positions 524 to 776 of the family's 1533-position model. The record is from RNAcentral.